RNAcentral lists this ribosomal RNA (423 nucleotides) under uncultured bacterium. RNAcentral's name for it is "bacterial SSU rRNA". It matches the Rfam family "Bacterial small subunit ribosomal RNA", at positions 207 to 622 of the family's 1533-position model. The record is from RNAcentral.
AAGACCUUGCGCUUUUGGAGCGGCCGAUGCCUGAUUAGCUUGUUGGUAAGGUAAGGGCUUACCAAGGCUUCGAUCAGUAGCUGGUCUGAGAGGACGGCCAGCCACACUGGGACUGAGACACGGCCCAGACUCCUACGGGGGGCAGCAGUGGGGAAUUUUGGACAAUGGGGGAAACCCUGAUCCAGCCAUGCCGCGUGAGUGAAGAAGGCCUUCGGGUUGUAAAGCUCUUUCAGCCGGAACGAAACGGUUACGGAUAAUACUCGUGACUACUGACGGUACCGGAAGAAGAAGCACCGGCUAACUACGUGCCAGCAGCCGCGGUAAUACGUAGGGUGCGAGCGUUAAUCGGAAUUACUGGGCGUAAAGCGUGCGCAGGUGGUUUUGUAAGUCAGAUGUGAAAGCCCCGGGCUCAACCUGGGAACU